RNAcentral lists this ribosomal RNA (802 nucleotides) under uncultured bacterium. Its description in RNAcentral is "bacterial SSU rRNA". It matches the Rfam family "Bacterial small subunit ribosomal RNA", at positions 8 to 796 of the family's 1533-position model. The record is from RNAcentral.
AGAGUUUGAUCAUGGCUCAGGACGAACGCUGGCGGUGUGCUUAACACAUGCAAGUGGAGCGACGAACCAGGGCUUGCCCUGGGGCAGAGCCGCGAACGGGUGAGUAACACGUGGGUAACGUACCCCGAUGACCGGGACAACCCGAGGAAACUCGGGCUAAUACCGGAUGUGUCCGUGGAUCAUGAGAUUCACGUGCAAAGGAAGCUUCGGCCUCCGUAUCGGGAGCGGCCCGCGGCCCAUUAGCUUGUUGGUGGGGUAACGGCCUACCAAGGCUGCGAUGGGUAGCUGGUCUGAGAGGACGAUCAGCCACACUGGGACUGAGACACGGCCCAGACUCCUACGGGAGGCAGCAGUGGGGAAUCUUGCGCAAUGCGCGAAAGCGUGACGCAGCAACACCGCGUGAGGGAAGACGGCCUUCGGGUUGUAAACCUCUUUCAGGAGGGACGAAGGGCGACCGGUGAACAGCCGUGUCGUCUGACGGUACCUCCAGAAGAAGCACCGGCUAACUACGUGCCAGCAGCCGCGGUAAUACGUAGGGUGCGAGCGUUGUCCGGAAUCAUUGGGCGUAAAGCGCGCGUAGGCGGCCCGAUAAGUCCGCUGUAAAAGUCAACGGCUCAACUGUUGAAAGCCGGUGGAUACUGUCGGGCUAGAGUACGGAAGAGGCAAGUGGAAUUCCUGGUGUAGCGGUGGAAUGCGCAGAUAUCAGGAGGAACACCUAUAGCGAAGGCAGCUUGCUGGGACGUUACUGACGCUAAGGCGCGAAAGCGUGGGGAGCGAACAGGAUUAGAUACCCUAGUAGUCC